This 465-nucleotide ribosomal RNA is filed under the name uncultured bacterium. RNAcentral describes it as "bacterial SSU rRNA". It matches the Rfam family "Bacterial small subunit ribosomal RNA", at positions 338 to 795 of the family's 1533-position model. The record is from RNAcentral.
CCUACGGGUCGCACCAGUGGGGAAUAUUGCACAAUGGGCGCAAGCCUGAUGCAGCCAUGCCGCGUGUAUGAAGAAGGCCUUAGGGUUGUAAAGUACUUUCAGUCGGGAGGGAGGCGUUGAUGCUAAUAUCAUCAACGAUUGACGUUACCGACAGAAGAAGCACCGGCUAACUCCGUGCCAGCAGCCGCGGUAAUACGGAGGGUGCAAGCGUUAAUCGGAAUUACUGGGCGUAAAGCGCACGCAGGCGGUUGAUUAAGUUAGAUGUGAAAUCCCCGGGCUUAACCUGGGAAUGGCAUCUAAGACUGGUCAGCUAGAGUCUUGUAGAGGGGGGUGGAAUUCCAUGUGUAGCGGUGAAAUGCGUAGAGAUGUGGAGGAAUACCGGUGGCGAAGGCGGCCCCCUGGACAAAUGCUGACGCUCAGGUGCGAAAGCGUGGGGAGCAAGCAGGAUUAGAUACCCUAGUAGUC